Molecule: ribosomal RNA, 253 nt
Filed under: uncultured bacterium
Lineage: Bacteria
Description: partial 16S ribosomal RNA
Rfam family: Bacterial small subunit ribosomal RNA
Source: RNAcentral
UACAGAGGGUGCAAGCGUUAAUCGGAAUUACUGGGCGUAAAGGGCGCGUAGGUGGUUGUAUAAGUGAGAUGUGAAAUCCCCGGGCUUAACCUGGGAAUGGCAUUUUAUACUGUAUGGCUAGAGUACAUGAGAGGGUAGUGGAAUUUCCGGUGUAGCGGUGAAAUGCGUAGAUAUCGGAAGGAACACCAGUGGCGAAGGCGGCUACCCGGCAUGAUACUGACACUGAGGCGCGAAAGCGUGGGGAGCAAACAGG